CCAUAGCUCAGUGGGAGAGCAUUGGCCUUGCAAGCAGAAGAUUGCUGGUUCGAUCUCCUGCCUCUCCAGGAAGG
This is a non-coding RNA of Podarcis lilfordi (Lilford's wall lizard), 74 nucleotides long. The record is from the annotation of a GenBank genome assembly. NCBI's taxonomy places the organism in Eukaryota, Metazoa, Chordata, Lepidosauria, Squamata, Lacertidae.